RNAcentral lists this long non-coding RNA (659 nucleotides) under Nicotiana benthamiana. Its description in RNAcentral is "long non-coding RNA (NBEN_LNC032879)". Lineage: Eukaryota; Viridiplantae; Streptophyta; Magnoliopsida; Solanales; Solanaceae. The record is from RNAcentral.
CGCGCCUACGGUCCCCAAGCAGUAGGUGCAAAAAUACCAGAAGCUCUAUGGACCUCAACCAAAAACACCAACGCAUCACAACGCCUCAUUCAAACUUGCUCCAAUCAUCAAAACACCUCAAACAACACCUAAAUCAUCAAAUUCAAUCCUAACUUCUUAUUAAACUGCCGAAACACGCAUUCGAUCAAAAACCCAACCAAAUCACUUCUGAAUAACCUGAAAUUUAGCAAACACAUCCCAAAUCCCCCUAAUGAAGCUACUGCAACUCUCAGAAUUCCAUUCCGACCCUCGAAUAAAAAUCUUACGUACCAACCGAAAAUUGCCAAAUACUAACUUCGCCAAUUCAAGCCUAAUCCUACACCGGACCUCCAAAACCACAUCUGAUACCACUCCUAAGUCACAAAUCAUCUCCCGAAGCUAAACCAACAACUGGAAAUCACAUCUGAGACCUCUAACUCAUAAGUCAACAUCCGGUUGACUUUUCCAAACCAAACCUUCCUUAAUGAGACUAAGUGUCUCAUUUCUUACCAAAACCAAUCCAAAUCAACUCCAUCUCACCAAAUACUGAUAAUGAAGCAUAAAGAAGCUGAAAAUGGGGAAAAUGGAGCAGUGACUCAUUAGUUGACGGACCGGCUCGUCACAUCCUUCCCAACUAAAAC